UGGGGAAUAUUGGACAAUGGGCGAAAGCCUGAUCCAGCCAUGCCGCGUGAGUGACGAAGGCCUUAGGGUUGUAAAACUCCUUCGUCGGGGACGAUAAUGACGGUACCCGAAGAAGAAGCUCCGGCUAACUUCGUGCCAGCAGCCGCGGUAAUACGAAGGGAGCUAGCGUUGUUCGGAAUCACUGGGCGUAAAGCGCACGUAGGCGGAUAGUUAAGUCAGGGGUGAAAUCCUGGGGCUCAACCCCAGAACUGCCUUUGAUACUGGCUGUCUCGAGGUCGAGAGAGGUUGGUGGAAUUCCUAGUGUAGAGGUGAAAUUCGUAGAUAUUAGGAAGAACACUAGUGGCGAAGGCGGCCAACUGGCUCGAUACUGACGCUGAGGUGCGAAAGCGUGGGGAGCAAACAGGAUUAGAUACCCGUGUAGUCCCUGAGCGGGCUGGCAAGGCGCAU
RNAcentral lists this ribosomal RNA (447 nucleotides) under uncultured bacterium. RNAcentral's name for it is "bacterial SSU rRNA". It matches the Rfam family "Bacterial small subunit ribosomal RNA", at positions 355 to 825 of the family's 1533-position model. The record is from RNAcentral.